Molecule: ribosomal RNA, 445 nt
Filed under: Titanolabris littorea
Lineage: Eukaryota; Metazoa; Arthropoda; Insecta; Dermaptera; Anisolabididae
Description: partial 16S ribosomal RNA
Rfam family: Bacterial large subunit ribosomal RNA
Source: RNAcentral
GCCCAUUGAAUAAAUUUUAAAAGGCCGCGGUAUUUUGACUGUGCAAAGGUAGCAUAAUAAUUAGCCUUUUAAUUGAAGGCUGGAAUGAAAGAUUUAAUGAAAUAAUAACUAUCUCAAUUUUAUUUUUAGAAUUUAACUUUUAAGUAAAAAGGCUUAAAUGAAAUUAAAAGACGAUAAGACCCUAUAGAUCUUUAUAAAAUGUUUUAAUAGAUUGCUUUUUUAGGUAAAGAUAAGUUUAAAUUAAAACGAUUUAUUUUAUUGGGGCGAUAAGAAAUUAUUUACAUUUCUAAUUAUAACAUAAAUAAAUGGAUAUAAGAACGAUUUUUAUCAAAUUAGAUAAAGAUACCUUAGGGAUAACAGCGUAAUUUUAUUAGAGAGUUCAUAUCGAUAAUAGAGUUUGCGACCUCGAUGUUGGAUUAAGAUUUAGGCUUGGUGCAGAAGUUAA